This 531-nucleotide long non-coding RNA is filed under the name Pandoravirus dulcis. RNAcentral describes it as "putative ncRNA". The record is from RNAcentral.
CGACGCCCGUGUGCACGUUGGUCGACGUGUCGGCAUACGCCUCCCAGCGCGGAUUGCCCACGAGCGCCGCAAUCUCAAGGGCAAGGUGGGCGGCGUUGUCGCCGGCGCACAGGGACGUCUCCAGCCAGUCGCGGGCGCACGGACCCGGCUGCUUCCAAAAGUCUGUGACCCGCUUGACGCCCUCGGACAGAUAGCCGCCCUGGGCCAUCAUGGGAUCGUCAACGUCGACCGUGGCCGCCAGUCGCGCAGGCAACUCGGUGCGCGCCCGAUCGAGCGUGUCGGCGCUGCCCACAUACACCGUCUGACCGUUGAGCGUGAUGACACCGACACCGUCGGCCAGGCGGCAGUCGAGCCUGGAGGCGAUCCAGUCUACCCGGUAUGCCAGAUAGGCCUGCGCCACCAGAUCGAUGGCGGCCCUGGCCGUGGAGGUGCCGUGGCGCCCGCUUGUCGUCGUCGUUAUCGUCGUCGUUGUGAUCUCUCUCGGCCUAUCUGCCGCCACUGCUAACAGAAAUUACCGAUUUUUCUGCCCUG